Molecule: long non-coding RNA, 456 nt
Organism: Micropterus dolomieu (smallmouth bass)
Lineage: Eukaryota; Metazoa; Chordata; Actinopteri; Centrarchiformes; Centrarchidae
Exons: 2
Source: RefSeq, a predicted model, not a curated record
UCUGUUUUCCUCUGCUCUCUGCCUCGUUAGUCUCAUGUCUGUCACCUGUGUUGCUCCCGCCCUGCUCGUUAGUCCCUGUGUAUAUAUAUACACCUGGUGUUUCGGUCUUAUCUUUGCCCGGUCAUUGUUCAUGUUACCCCACAGUCUGUCGUGUGUGCUCUCUGCCUGUAACCAGCCUUGCUUGUCUUGUCUCCCUGUACCUUUGGAUUUCUGUUAGGAUCACCUUGUUUUUUGGACUCCGUUAACCAGCCACUCGAUCUGUUUACCUGUUUGGACUGCCUUCUCUGGAUCUGACACUUGCCUUCCUGAUUGUAAACCUUGCACCUUAUUGUUUAUAUCCUCUGUAUAUUUUGCAUUUCUUUUAUGUUUGGCAUGGUGCUACUUGUAUUUAUAGGCCUAUAUUUUCCUCGUAUGUGCAAAUCUUCCAGGCAAUAAACCUGAUUCACCAUCCUGUAA